Molecule: long non-coding RNA, 1139 nt
Organism: Equus caballus (horse)
Lineage: Eukaryota; Metazoa; Chordata; Mammalia; Perissodactyla; Equidae
Source: Ensembl
ACUGAAUGAGAUUAGAGACACACAGGUAUUGCAGGUACAGGAUCCCAGACUCGGAAUCUGGCUUCUGGACCGAAGAGAUUUGGGGCAUUGAACAAACCCCUUCAACUUUCUGAGCCUCACUUUCCUCAUCUCUAAAAGUCUGGGGGUAAUGCUUAGUUGGCAGGAUGAUUAUUAACCUCAGAAGAGAUCAGAUUACAAGUGUCUGGCACAGUGUUGUUUAGUUAGGAUGCAUGUGGCUGCCAGAAACAAAAUACUCAACUAAAAGUGACUUCAACGCAAAGGGUUGAUUUUUCUCGAAGAACAGUAACACAGAGGAGGGAUUCCCUGGGUUGGUGCAGGAGCGGAAUGGCAUCGGAGCUCCAGCUCAGUUUCUCUGUGAUUCUCCUGGCUGCAGUAGCUCCAGGCAUCCUGUCCUUCUUCGACAAUGUCCAAAGCAGAAAAAUGGACACAUAUCUUUGCAUGUCUCUCGUCAGGAAAAGUUCAUCCCAGGAGGCCCAGUAACGUUCCUCAGCCUGAAUUGUAUCACAUGACUCUGUCUAGGCUUCAGGCGAAACUGGAAAAAUCUAGAAGAUGCCAAUUAAUCUCGAAGUUGUAUAAAGCAGGAGAGGGUGAGACUGAUUAUAUAAAAGAAUACACCUAAAAUUAUGCUAAGUUUUUUCUCUGCUUGGCAAAAUUAUCAUAGUAGGUGUCUGGCAUUAGUUUCCUACACCUCGUCACAGACAAGCACCAAAGGAAUCCCCAAACAGCCAGACAGGUUUUGGGCACCUAGGCUGAGCAGGACAUUGUCCUGGCCCUGGGAAUACAGCAGAGAAGUGGCUGGAGAAACAGUCCCUGCACUCAUGGAGUUCCCAAUCAACCAAGGAGACAAAAUGUUUAAACAUCAUAUUUAACAAGACAAAGAUAUUCCCUGUAAAAAAGUGAAAUAACACAAGGAAAAAAUUAUUAAGCUGUUAAGCAACAAAGCUGACAGAAUCGAGGAAUCAAAGUUGAAAAGAGAAGGGAAGUGGACAUUUUACAAAUCCACAAACUGGAUAAUCCAUUCCAAAUACAAAAAGAAGCAUCAUUUGUUUCUAAUAAACAGUUUCUAGAUUACAUAUUCUUAUUUAUAAUCUAAUCUUGUUAAAAAUUUUAUUCUACUU